Molecule: ribosomal RNA, 613 nt
Filed under: uncultured bacterium
Lineage: Bacteria
Description: bacterial SSU rRNA
Rfam family: Bacterial small subunit ribosomal RNA (bases 1-528)
Source: RNAcentral
CCUACGGGAGGCAGCAGUGGGGAAUCUUGCGCAAUGGGCGAAAGCCUGACGCAGCCAUGCCGCGUGAAUGAUGAAGGUCUUAGGAUUGUAAAAAUUCUUUCACCGGGGACGAUAAUGACGGUACCCGGAGAAGAAGCCCCGGCUAACUUCGUGCCAGCAGCCGCGGUAAUACGAAGGGGGCUAGCGUUGCUCGGAAUUACUGGGCGUAAAGGGAGCGUAGGCGGAUAGUUUAGUCAGAGGUGAAAGCCCAGGGGCUCAACCCUUGGAAUUGCCUUUUGAUACUGGCUAUCUUGAGUGUGGGAGAGGUUAGCGGAACUCCGAGUGUAGAGGUGAAAUUCGUAGAUAUUCGGAAGAACACCAGUGGCGAAGGCGGCUAACUGGCCCAUUACUGACGCUGAGGCUCGAAAGCGUGGGGAGCAAACAGGAUUAGAUACCCUGGUAGUCCACGCCGUAAACGAUGAGUGCUAGUUGUCGGCGAUGCAUGCGAUGUCGGUGACGCGAGCGUAACGACAUUAAGACACCUCCGCCGUCGGGAGGUACGGUCGCGAGAAGUUAAACUAACGUAAAGUAAGUUAGAGUGUUGAGACGNGCGAGGCGACGACGAGGGAGGAGG